Molecule: ribosomal RNA, 253 nt
Filed under: uncultured bacterium
Lineage: Bacteria
Description: partial 16S ribosomal RNA
Rfam family: Bacterial small subunit ribosomal RNA
Source: RNAcentral
UACAGAGGGUGCAAGCGUUGUUCGGAAUUAUUGGGCGUAAAGCGCGUGUAGGCGGCUUGGCAAGUCGGGUGUGAAAUCCCUCAGCUCAACUGAGGAAGGGCGCCCGAAACUGCCGAGCUUGAAUACCAGAGAGGAUGGCGGAAUUCCCCAAGUAGAGGUGAAAUUCGUAGAUAUGGGGAGGAACACCAGUGGCGAAGGCGGCCAUCUGGAUGGCUAUUGACGCUGAGACGCGAAAGCGUGGGUAGCAAACAGG